AGAGCUUGGCGAGUACAAGAAACACCACAAAAUGUAGUUUCUUGGUUCUUUAGUGUAAAGUAGUAUAGGAUAGUUUAGUUUUAGAUAAUUUAUCCUUUCUUGUAUGUUAGCUACAUGAAGAUGAAGAUGGAGAUGAAGAAGGCAAGGAAAGAGCUCAUGUGACAAGGGUUACUUUACCUUUCCAACUCUUAUCUUUUGUAUUGGAAUCUAAGUUUAAUUAAUAUACAAGUUUUGGAUUUUAUGUUUAUUAUGUGUCUUUAAAAGUUUAUGCCUUGGAUUUAGUUGAACUUUCUAUGAUUGUUAGCGUUUAUUCUUUGGCUAUUUGAUGCUAUUAUUUUGAGCAAGUUAUUUAGCACUUUAGCUCUUUAAAUCAUGAUUAAUUUGGCACCAUUAAUUGUGAUUAUCUAAAGGUGUUGCUUCUUCAAUGAAAAUUGAGAUUUAACACUAGUUCAAGAAAUGCUAAACCUAGGGAGUACACUCAUGAGAGUAGAGGUGCACCUAUGUGGUUUUAGUGAUUCAUUUCAUGUAAUUUCAUAGAAUAAAUGAACUUGUAGCUAAUUUCAUAACCAUGAGAGUAGGUAUGGAUUAGUUAUAAGUAUAGUUGAUUCACUACAAAAGUAGGUUUCACAAACCUAAGGAAAUUACGCAUAACUAGCCAAAAUAGUAGUACUCAUUGAUCCAAAUAUAGCACUUGCAUGAGUAGUUAGGGACACCAUAACCUAAGGAGCUUUUAUUUACCAUUUCCUUGCAUAAGUUUAGCAUAGUUUUAUUUCUUUAAUUUAUUGAUCGUCUAAAUAAUAGAGAAGGUUUAGUAGUGCCAGUAAUUGUCCAAUCUUUCUCGUGGAUCGACCGAUAUAGGCCCUAAACUACUAGUUGACCUGUAUACUUGCAGUCAAAACGGGUAUAAAUUGGAUUUAAACUUGUACUCAUAUCAAAAUUCCGCCAUAUUUAUUUUUGAUGAUGUUCUGCAAAUCUAUGUAUAAAUUACAUGUUAUAAAAUAGGAAUAUUUUUUCUUUUUAGACUUCUAUCUUUUAUAAUUUUAAGCAGCAUAUUAAUUUUACUUAAAUUUUUAAGCGGAUGUAAAUGUAUACCAUGUAAUAUAAAUUUAAAUUUGAAAUUCAUUUUUCGCUUAGAAGACAUACAUCUACACUUGUUAGUGUAAAAUAUCAUCUACAUCAACUGUGUAUGAAAACUUAAUCCAUUGAAAACUCAUAAGCGUUAAUCACUUAUAAAGGAAACUCAAUUUAAUCCUAGAUACAAUGUCUAAUCUUGAAUUUAAUGAGUCAAAAUAAAUCAUUUUAGUGAUUGUGGCAUUAUGCUAAAUUCAUGCUAAAGGAAGAUAGUGCAAAUCUCAACUUACGGAUCUUAAAAAGUGCUUGAACUGGCAGGGCCUCAAAUCUUGUCCAUCUUCUCUAACAGACUAGCUAUAAAGAACUUUUCACUAAUGCGGUAGAGUCAAUAAAUUAAUAUAUAUAUGCGGGCGGCAUUAAUGUUUUGUCUCCCGGAAACAUUAGUUACCACCUUUUUUUGAACCCCAAAAAGAAAAAAAGACAAUGGAAUUGCUUUUUCUUUUGUUUUUUUUUUUUGUGUAUAUAUAAAAUUCACAAGAAGCCUUUUCUCAAGUAGUCUUCCACUCUUCCCUGUUUGGGAACUGCACACAAAUAGAGCUAGCUUUAAGUUUCUUUAAACGAAGUCGAUUUGUAAUACAUAUUUUUAGCAUUAUUUGCAGAAACCACUUAUGAAAAGUUGCAACAGGAUUGGGACGCAGACGAGAAGUUAUACAAAUACUGGGAACAAAUCAAAAGGGUGAUAAAAUAUCACCACGUAGACAAUAGGGAGUUCAUGUUGAUUGAUACUUGAUGGUGAUCAUUGGGGACUCUUCCUGGGACACCUAUCAAUCAAGCGGCAAGGCCUGCCUGGACGCCCACCAGGAAUGCAAUUCGCGUACCUUAACAGAUUGCAAAUUGGCUUUGUCGUCCCUGAUGCACGGUAAACAAUAGGUCUGCGGCCUGGGGGAUCGGCGAGAACAUUGCCAAACUGAGAAUCCAUAAGGAAUUCUUGGUCGCCCGCUACAACAGUACUGCCGACCGUGGAAUCGCCCCACUCCCAGCUAAUGCUGCCAUUAACACUUUGAAUACUUGUUGCGCUGAUGAGAACUAUCGUAGUAAGCAGCAGCCAUGCCACCACUGGGAAGAUGCACAGGCUCUUUGAUGCUGAUUUCUCCAUCUCUCCCUGCUAUCUCUUGCUCUCUUGGAGACCUGAAUAGCUUUCUCUAUUUGUACUAAUAGACCUCGUACCUAGUUUACUUGAUAAUCGUAUUAAUGAACGUAUGGUUGUAGUUGGGACUGAGUUAAUUACUUUAAUUAGAGCUCCUCCAUGUUAGGUGGCCGUCAG
RNAcentral lists this long non-coding RNA (2395 nucleotides) under Coffea arabica (coffee). RNAcentral describes it as "long non-coding RNA (CARA_LNC007240)". The record is from RNAcentral. Lineage: Eukaryota; Viridiplantae; Streptophyta; Magnoliopsida; Gentianales; Rubiaceae.